This 69-nucleotide small RNA is filed under the name Acididesulfobacillus acetoxydans. RNAcentral's name for it is "Peptococcaceae bacterium INE non-coding RNA". Lineage: Bacteria; Bacillati; Bacillota; Clostridia; Eubacteriales; Peptococcaceae. The record is from RNAcentral.
GUUUCAAUUCCUCAUAGGCAGGCUAUCGGCAUUCAAUCUGCUGUCGAUAAUAAAGACGCAAGUUUAGCG